GGGUGCGAUAAUACCAGCACUAAUGCACUGGAUCCCAUCAGAACACCGCUGUAAAGUGUGCCUGGGCGAGAGUUGUACUAGGAUGGGUGACCUCCUGGGAUAUCCUCGUGUUGCACUCC
Molecule: ribosomal RNA, 119 nt
Organism: Gossypium raimondii (Peruvian cotton)
Lineage: Eukaryota; Viridiplantae; Streptophyta; Magnoliopsida; Malvales; Malvaceae
Source: Rfam